This 873-nucleotide long non-coding RNA is filed under the name Olea europaea subsp. europaea. The record is from RNAcentral. Lineage: Eukaryota; Viridiplantae; Streptophyta; Magnoliopsida; Lamiales; Oleaceae.
UCUCAAUGUAUUCAUUAUAUAUAUUGAACACAAAUUUAUAAUUAUUACAUAAUCACAAAAAAUAAUUAAAUUUACAAUUCGAAUGUUAUAUAUAUUUAAUACAAAUUUACGGGUCACCAUUAAAUUCGAACAAAUCACAAGCUAGCUUCUUUCUCUAGUUCUGUAUCCACGUACUUAUGUCCUAUACUUAAAAAUUCAACGUACUUAAUGGCAAAUAUGCCGCAGUCGUCGCUACAAUUGAACAAGAAUGGAUCAGUUCAGUACUACUGUAUAGCUAAAAAUUAAAUCUGAAAGAUGAAAACAAUUAAGUUUAAAGACUUACCUUAUGGACUGUCGCGAUGUCGUAGUGUUUCAAACAAUCCGCAAUCUGUCCUGUACAGUCAUCCCCGCUCAUCUGGCCAUCAUAGGAACAAUUACAGCUACGGACUCCAAAUUUUGCUCCAGCUGGCCUUGUGUCAAACAUGAAUGAUCUAAGUCGUACACAUAUAUAGUCGUGUUAGCAAAAACGAUCUCCAGCUUAACAUAGUGAUUAUUGAUGCACGCUAGAAUGUACAUAUGUGUACAACCCUCCCAUGAUUUCCCCCCGACACUCAACGACAUUCCUAUGACCCACUCGAGCAUAUAUUUUGGCACCGCGUACUCGUUACCCAUAAGUUGGAGCGAUUGAUACUCUAUGGUAACGACACGCAGGAACUCGAUGUUUAAUAUGACUCGAUCAUGGAUGUCAAAUGAUUUUGGAUGUCUUUGAGCUCGAUCUCGCAGCAAGUCCAUGGCCAAGUCGAUGUACUGCAUUAGGAAACACAAAAAAAGUAUGAGUUAUUCAUUUAAUAAACUUAUAUCGUCGACGAGCUAAGCUCCCAAAGUGGUGAUAUC